CUUAAAAUCAUCUUUAGAAGCUCUGCUCCAACUCAACACUGGGUGUAUUUCAGGUCUCUGAAUAAAGCUCACCACUUCCAUUCUGGGUUAUUCUCCUAGAUACAUAAUUUACUAGGAUAUUUUACAUUUUAAAAGAAACCUCAGAAUAAGCUUCUUAUUGCCCUUCAAGGAUUGCCAGCGCUACCCGUCAGGAAACCCUGACCUUAAAAUCAUGAAUGUAAAGUAAUAUAUGUGUAUGUAUAUAUAUAUAUAUGUAUGUAUUUUUUAUGUAUAUAUUUUUAUGUAUAUAUUUAUAGAUUUAUUUCCUAUGAGCUUGUCCAGGUGUGUUUUUCCCCCUUGGCACUUCAGGUGGGUUAGCUGCCUUGUGUUCAUGAUUCCUUGUCCAUGUCCCUCCCAGCGAGAGAAAGAAACAACAGAAUGAAAUGGUGUGGUCCUCCUGAACUGGAGCUGAAAGCUGACCUGUGAUGGGCCAUCCAGCCCUUUAAAUAAAGCCAUGGGAAAACACUUCUGGUCUGGAGUCAGGCCUGGAUUAGAAGUUACAGGUUGUUACUCUCUUUUUUAAACCAUGCCUAGGGUUGGGUAGGGGUCAGCAACGAGCAGAGGCAAGGGUAGUAGAUUGUCUGACUUUUUGGUUGCCUUGCAAGUGCAAGGUUAUGAUGCAGUGUUCCUGUUCCUGCUGAAAUGUUGUUGGCAGUCUCAGAGAACAAGGAGCCCAGGGGGACAGCCAGGUGGGCAGGCAGAGUCACUUCUGGGAACGGCUUUCACCUGGUCUCAUUUUGGCCAGGUGCUGCCUGUUUUCUCCGGCGUGCCCUUUUUUGCUGCAGCAGGAGAUCUGUUUCAGAAGAGAUGGAGCUAUCUGCAAAGAUUUUCGUUUAUGCGAUGUGUUCGUUGUGGUGCAGUGCUGUGGGAGGUUUUGUGCAUGCCUGCAGGUAAGCAAGCUGUGGUUUAAGUCUUUUCUCCGAGUGCUCCGUGUUCAGGGGAACAGUUUUCAUCUCACUUUCUCUACCAGUUUCACACAGCUGUCAUUUCUUUAACUUCAGUGGGUUUCCUUGUGACUUACCCUGGUAUCAAAUCAGAUUUAGUCUCAUAGGUCUUGCAAAACUGAGACAAAAGUAAUGAAAAAAAAAUAGCAGUACUGAAGUUUUCUCAUUUCUAGCUUAGAAAAUGCAUCUUUAAACCUUUUACUUUGCAUUUUUGGUAGCACUCUGGCUCUUCUGGUUCUGCAGAGAAAAACAAAGUGAAGAAUUACACAGAAGUGAAAAAUAAUGAGGCAAAAAAAUAUAGUUCUCGUAUUCCUUUUGGGAGCUUUAGAGGGAUGCCACUUCAGUGGUCCAUGACAUGUGUCUGUCUGUGCACUGGCCUUGGCUGCACUACUUCCAAAGGCUUCCAAACCUGAAGUGGUUUGGGACCUAUCAGAGGUUAUAGACAUUUAAAACAUUAUUAUUAUUAAGUUGGUGACAAGUUGCUUUCACAAUAAUAUCUUACGCGCUGAAAGCAUUUUCAGGCUUACCUGUGGCUUUCGAGAUGGAAGGCUUUACAAUGGCACUGAAUGGCAAAUUGAGUCCGAGUUCACGUGCUAUGAUAGCAUCAGAUUUUCGCUUUUAUGAAUAAUUCUGACAACAGAAGUAACAUCUUGAACCGUAACUGAAAUAUGCAUGUACUUUUAGGCACACAUUAGCUGUCUACAAAAGGCUUUUCUGUCUUACCCUAGUUGUGCUGUCAGAUAUUAAAUGCCUUUAGGGUGUUUUAGAUUGUGCUAGAAGCAUGGUUAGUGCCCAAGUAAUUCAGGGACCAUUCAUUGCAACUCUGCUGGGGUUACAAAUAAAGAGAGAGAGCUUUUUUUCA
Molecule: long non-coding RNA, 1845 nt
Filed under: Anas platyrhynchos platyrhynchos (common mallard)
Lineage: Eukaryota; Metazoa; Chordata; Aves; Anseriformes; Anatidae
Description: lncRNA (ENSAPLG00000026012.1)
Source: RNAcentral